GCUCCAUCUUGUCUUUUCUUGGAGAGAAAAGAAAAUAUUAUCAGAAAUUUGCUAUAAUAAGUAUAGCUUGAGAAAAACUCCUGCCAGAUUUGAAGUAUAUCUGAAGCGCCAUUUUCAAAAACGAAUCUUGGCCAGUGCGAUUAGACGUGAAACCAUUAUUAAAUGUUGAAGCAGACAACUAACUUAAAAGAUCUAUUUUAAUGCAUCGGUAAUAUUGCUGCUCAAUUAAAAGUCAGUACUUCAAGGUUUUAGAAACAACUAUUUCAUUUUUCAAGUUUUAGAGAUGAUUGCGUCCGUUUCCAAUAAAUGCACUUUAAUUAAAAACGAGAGUUACACUUGAAUUGUCCCUGCCUUUUGCUGGCUUGCUUUCAACUUCAAAAAGUGCUACAAACAUUUCAACCCUAACCAUACGAAAAAUGAGAGUUCACUAAUAUUAUAUCAU
This 442-nucleotide small RNA is filed under the name Schizosaccharomyces pombe (fission yeast). Its description in RNAcentral is "non-coding RNA, poly(A)-bearing (predicted)". Lineage: Eukaryota; Fungi; Ascomycota; Schizosaccharomycetes; Schizosaccharomycetales; Schizosaccharomycetaceae. The record is from RNAcentral.